This 417-nucleotide ribosomal RNA is filed under the name Ewingella americana. RNAcentral's name for it is "bacterial SSU rRNA". It matches the Rfam family "Bacterial small subunit ribosomal RNA", at positions 39 to 451 of the family's 1533-position model. Lineage: Bacteria; Pseudomonadati; Pseudomonadota; Gammaproteobacteria; Enterobacterales; Yersiniaceae. The record is from RNAcentral.
GCGAGGCGCGGACUACCAUGCAAGUCGAGCGGCAGCGGAAAGUAGCUUGCUACUUUGCCGGCGAGCGGCGGACGGGUGAGUAAUGUCUGGGAAACUGCCUGAUGGAGGGGGAUAACUACUGGAAACGGUAGCUAAUACCGCAUGACCUCGAAAGAGCAAAGUGGGGGACCUUCGGGCCUCACGCCAUCGGAUGUGCCCAGAUGGGAUUAGCUAGUAGGUGAGGUAAUGGCUCACCUAGGCGACGAUCCCUAGCUGGUCUGAGAGGAUGACCAGCCACACUGGAACUGAGACACGGUCCAGACUCCUACGGGAGGCAGCAGUGGGGAAUAUUGCACAAUGGGCGCAAGCCUGAUGCAGCCAUGCCGCGUGUGUGAAGAAGGCCUUCGGGUUGUAAAGCACUUUCAGCGAGGAGGAAGG